RNAcentral lists this unclassified non-coding RNA (2193 nucleotides) under Eurytemora carolleeae. RNAcentral's name for it is "putative ATP-dependent RNA helicase me31b". Lineage: Eukaryota; Metazoa; Arthropoda; Copepoda; Calanoida; Temoridae. The record is from RNAcentral.
UUUUUAGCGAUAUUCUUUUUCAGAACAAAGUGAUCUAGCUUUUCUAAUAGAUAACCAAGAAUAAGUAAGCGAUCGUUGAUCGAGGAGAAAUGGCCGCUACGAUGGCUCAAAACCCUGUCAACAACCAAAACCAGAAUGCUGCUGAUCUGAAAGGAUGGAAGAGCCAGCUGAACCUGCCUGCCCGAGAUGGAAGGGUCAAGACGAGUGAUGUGACCGCAACCAAGGGAAAUGAGUUUGAAGAUUUCUGCCUGAAACGUCCUCUGCUGAUGGGUAUAUUUGAGAAAGGUUGGGAGAAACCGUCUCCAAUUCAAGAGGCCAGCAUCCCUAUUGCACUAACUGGAAGGGAUAUUUUGGCCCGAGCUAAGAAUGGAACUGGAAAAACUGGAGCCUAUUGUAUUCCUAUACUAGAGCAGAUAGAUGUAACCAAAGAUGUUAUCCAGGGUAUGAUAAUUGUUCCUACCCGUGAGCUUGCCCUGCAGACCUCACAGAUUGCAAUUGAACUUUCUCAGCAUAUGGGUCUCAAGGUUAUGGUCACUACAGGAGGAACCAACUUAAAGGACGAUAUUAUGAGAUUGUAUGAGAAGGUUCACCUCGUUGUAGCUACACCUGGCAGAAUUCUCGAUCUUAUGGAGAAGCAGGUUGCAAACAUGGAUAACUGUCGUAUUCUGGUACUUGAUGAGGCAGACAAACUUCUCUCAAACGAUUUCAAGGGAAUGUUGGACCGUUGCAUUUCUCAUCUUCCAAAAGAACGCCAGAUUCUGCUCUUCAGUGCAACCUUCCCUCUAACUGUUGAAUCAUUUAUGCAGAAACAUCUCACCAAUCCGUACGAAAUCAAUUUGAUGGAUGAGCUCACACUCAAGGGUAUUACUCAGUUCUACGCAUUUGUCCAGGAAAGGCAGAAGGUGCAUUGUUUGAAUACUCUGUUCAGUAAACUUAGGAUCAAUCAGAGCAUUAUAUUCUGUAACUCGACUCAGCGGGUGGAGUUGUUAGCCAAGAAGAUUACUGAACUGGGUUACUCCUGCUACUACAUCCACUCCAGGAUGGCUCAGGCUCACCGGAACCGCGUAUUUCAUGAUUUUCGUGACGGAAACUGCAGAAAUUUGGUUUGCUCAGAUCUAUUCACCAGAGGUAUUGAUAUCCAGGCCGUGAAUGUCGUCAUCAACUUUGACUUCCCAAAGAUGGCUGAAACCUACCUUCAUAGGAUUGGUAGAUCUGGCAGGUUUGGACACCUGGGUAUUGCGAUCAAUCUGAUCACCUACGACGACAGGUUCUCCUUGCACAGGAUAGAGCAGGAGCUUGGUACAGAGAUUAAGCCUAUUCCCAAGGUGAUUGACAAAUCUCUGUAUGUAGCUGAGUUCCACCAGGAGGGUGGGAACCCUGAGGACGAGAACUAGAUUCUCCCCAAACACCAGAGAGGAGGGUUCUACAUAUACUACUCUUCUUUGCUACCCCUCUCCUCCCUAUACUUCAUAAAAUAACUUAAUAAUCUUCUCUUCACAAGGGUUUAAGAUCUUUCCAAAUUUUCAGUUUAAAACCAAUGUCUAUUUUUUAUCUUAAGAUUGCUUGGUACUAUCCCAGUUAAGCAAGGUGAUCUUUGUUCGAUUAGACACCUGAAGUACCACAGAGUCUUUCAAAUCUUAUUGGAUAAUAUUACUUUUGACUGAAAGCAUUUUGUACCGUUUCCAAUACUGUAAAUCUUCCCCCCACGAUGAUAAGCUGCGUUGAGCUGCUUGACGCUGCUCCUUCAUUAGCGGUAAUGAUGCCACUUCUUAAUGAAUUGAAGGAGCAUUUUCACCUGGGGUUUUAUAUUUGGUGCGAUCAAAGAUCUGUCCGGCACUAUAGUCUGUAUGUGUGUUAUGCAUGUCGAGGGUCGAGAGGUAAAUCCUUUAGUUUUGGCAGAUUAUCCAUAAAGUUUCCAAUAUGCCAAAUCCUUCGAUUUUCCCUUGACCCUGCCCGGGGUUGGAUGGGCAAGGCCCCUGUUGAGGGUCUAUGGCUGCCGCAUCUUUCUCUGAAUAAAUUAUAUUUUGUUAAAGUUUAAUGAACCAUGUGAUGAAUGAUAUCAAUAUGUAUGAAUGAACAUAUUAAAAUCAAAUAAAAAAUAGUAAAAUUAAAAAAUUUGUAAGAUUUUGUGCAAGAAUUUGCUCGAUAACACCUUCUGUACUUGCUUUAACAUCAAUAAAUACGAAAUCUUAA